AGAGUUUGAUCAUGGCUCAGAUUGAACGCUGGCGGUAGGCUUAACACAUGCAAGUCGUGCGAGAAAGUAUCUUCGGAUAUGAGUAGAGCGGCGGACGGGUGAGUAACGCGUAGGAAUCUACCUAGUAGAAGGGGAUAGCCCGGGGAAACUCGGAUUAAUACCGUAUACCUCCUUCGGGAGAAAGAAGGCCUCUCUUUGAAGCUUUCGCUAUUAGAUGAGCCUGCGUAAGAUUAGCUUGUUGGUGAGGUAAAGGCUCACCAAGGCGACGAUCUUUAGCGGGUCUGAGAGGACGAUCCGCCACAUUGGGACUGAGACACGGCCCAGACUCCUACGGGAGGCAGCAGUGGGGAAUAUUGGACAAUGGGCGCAAGCCUGAUCCAGCCAUACCGCGUGUGUGAAGAAGGCCCUAGGGUUGUAAAGCACUUUAAGUUGGGAAGAAAAGUUAUUGGUUAAUACCCAAUAACCGUGACAUUACCAUCAGAAUAAGGACCGGCUAAUUCCGUGCCAGCAGCCGCGGUAAUACGGAAGGUCCAAGCGUUAAUCGGAAUUACUGGGCGUAAAGCGCGCGUAGGUGGUUUAUUAAGUUGGAUGUGAAAUCCCCGGGCUCAACCUGGGAACUGCAUCCAAAACUGAUUCACUAGAGUACGAUAGAGGGAGGUAGAAUUCACAGUGUAGCGGUGGAAUGCGUAGAUAUUGUGAAGAAUACCAAUGGCGAAGGCAGCCUCCUGGAUCUGUACUGACACUGAGGUGCGAAAGCGUGGGUAGCGAACAGGAUUAGAUACCCUGGUAGUCCACGCCGUAAACGAUGUCAACUAGCUGUUGGAAAACUAUGUUUUUCAGUGGCGCAGCUAACGUAGUAAGUUGACCGCCUGGGGAGUACGGCCGCAAGGCUAAAACUCAAAUGAAUUGACGGGGACCCGCACAAGCGGUGGAGCAUGUGGUUUAAUUCGAUGCAACGCGAAAAACCUUACCUAUACUUGACAUACUUGGAAUGCUUUGUAAUGAAGCAGUGCCUUCGGGAGCCAAGAUACAGGUGCUGCAUGGCUGUCGUCAGCUCGUGUCGUGAGAUGUUCCGUUAAGUCGGAUAACGAGCGCAACCCUUACCCUUAUUUGCCAGCGAUUCGGUCGGGAACUAUAAGGGGACUGCCGGUGAUAAACCGGAGGAAGGUGAGGACGACGUCAAGUCAUCAUGGCCCUUACGUAUAGGGCUACACACGUGCUACAAUGGAGAAUACAGACGGACGCUAAGCCGCGAGGUGGUGCUAAUCCUAGAAAAUUCUUCGUAGUCCGGAUUGGAGUCUGCAACUCGACUCCAUGAAGUCGGAAUCGCUAGUAAUCGCGAAUCAGCAUGUCGCGGUGAAUACGUUCUCGGGUCUUGUACACACCGCCCGUCAUACCAUGGAAGUGGAUUGCACCAGAAGUAGAUAGUCUAACCUUCGGGAGGGCGUUUACCACGGUGUGCUUCAUGACUGGGGUAAAGUCAUAACAAGGUAGCCGUA
Molecule: ribosomal RNA, 1499 nt
Filed under: uncultured bacterium
Lineage: Bacteria
Description: bacterial SSU rRNA
Rfam family: Bacterial small subunit ribosomal RNA
Source: RNAcentral